GUUGGUGGUGCUUUUAAGUUUCUAAUUUUUAGAUCCACCUCUUGACUAUUAGUAGUCUCUAGAUCAAAUAUUAUUUCACCUAUCAUCACUCAACCCAAGUAGAUAACUAUUAUUAUAGUUCUAGUCCUACAACAUCUCUAUUCAAAAACUAUAAAUCUAAAAGUACAAAUGAAUUGGCGCUUUUAGAAGUAUUCUAGUUCAACUCGAGAGAGACACACCGUUUGUGGAUUCCAAUUGAGUGGACUUAAUUA
This 251-nucleotide long non-coding RNA is filed under the name Ananas comosus (pineapple). Its description in RNAcentral is "long non-coding RNA (ACOM_LNC040568)". The record is from RNAcentral. Lineage: Eukaryota; Viridiplantae; Streptophyta; Magnoliopsida; Poales; Bromeliaceae.